AGCCCCAGCAGGGUGUUCCACAGAGCAAAGAUGCAUUAGCUUUUGCCACUGACAGUGGCUCUCCAAUGAGUUCCAUUCCCUGGUGGAAACAGCGGCUGAUUCUCAAGUUUAACAAACAUCAUUGGCUCUAGGAACACUCAGGUUGCUGUGGUUGUCUCCCAGAAAGAUCAGCUCUUGGGAUUAUUUGAAAAUGAAUAAAGUACCUGGAAACAA
Molecule: long non-coding RNA, 213 nt
Organism: Labrus mixtus (cuckoo wrasse)
Lineage: Eukaryota; Metazoa; Chordata; Actinopteri; Labriformes; Labridae
Exons: 2
Source: RefSeq, a predicted model, not a curated record